This is a long non-coding RNA of Dendroctonus ponderosae (mountain pine beetle), 1228 nucleotides long. RefSeq lists it as uncharacterized. The transcript is spliced from 3 exons. The record is from RefSeq and is a predicted model, not a curated record. Lineage: Eukaryota; Metazoa; Arthropoda; Insecta; Coleoptera; Curculionidae.
AUUUUUGCUAGUUGCCGGGACCGACAAAAGUAUCUAUACGAUUUAAAGUGAAAUGCUAUUUUGCAGUAUAUUUUGAAGCAUUUCAAUCGGUUAUUCACAUCACUACUCAAAUAUUUCCACAGUCGUUAACGUUUUUUCUAACAUGUGUACAGUGUAAGUUUGGAUUUAUUUGACUGUUCGUAGAUGAAAAUUAUUUAAAUUUCCACAAUAGCAGCUCUUUCGUUUCAAAGAGAGAGUGUAGAUAACAUUAUUGACUCCUAGAAAUAUGACUGCACUGGUGAGAACUGCAUGUACCUAUACGUUUAGUUUUGCUACAUACCGGAUGCGUUAAUAAGUUAAUUUUUUUUAGAUUAUGUUCAACUUUGCCUUUUUAACGAAAUAUCUAUACUAAAAAGUCCAAAAAAUAAGUAAUACUCAAAUGGCACGCGAGUUUGGACAUCUCUUAUAGUUUUUAGUAGCUGCUCCAGUCGGAUUUUCAAAUACCUAUAAAAACCCGCCUUGUAGGUACUAAAGCAGAAAACUGGUAGAGUAAGCAAAGUAAUGAGCAUCAAAGCUCGGGUUUUUUUGCCACCAACAUUUUAGUCAUAAUCAUUAUUCAGGUAUUCGCUAAAGUGUCAAUCUUUUUUUUAAUUGGUAUCAACAUAAUUAAUCACAUAAUUGCUGAUGUUAAUAAAAUCGAGUUUUUCUGCAUAAUUUUCUUGUCAUUGUCGGCCAAGCUAAUAUAAAUCUCACACCUGCUAAUCAACAGAAAAAACACCACUUGCCCACAUUUAUAUGUACAAGUUAAUUAUCGGUAUUCAGUAAAACAAUGAUUCUUGAAAGCUUGCGUCAUGUGAUGAAGUGACGAUGAAAGUUGCUGAAGUUUGCUUAUAAAUAUUUAACACCAAAACCUUUCGUAGUGAAAACAGAAACGAAUAAAAUGAAAAUCAUGGUAUAAAUCGAUACUAAAUGGGAAGGGAUGACAACUUUUUGAAAUGUUUCCUUUAACGAAGCUAAAGAUAGUUAUAAAUCCACCAGAUAAUAGUGAGAUAUAAUGAACAAUUAUAGGGUGUCCAGAAAUGUAGUGUACAAACUACAGAGAUUGACUCUACAUGGAAAAAAUAAUAUUUCAAAUGUAUAUAGCAGUUUCUAGAAGCCUCGAAAAUAACGAAACUMCAGUUUUCAAGAUCAACCAGCAACAUAUUGGAUCUAACAAGUGAUCCUUAAAAAUUCCGCACAAAAAAUAGAC